Molecule: unclassified non-coding RNA, 356 nt
Filed under: fungal sp.
Lineage: Eukaryota; Fungi
Description: partial internal transcribed spacer region
Rfam family: Eukaryotic small subunit ribosomal RNA (bases 1-46)
Source: RNAcentral
AAGUCGUAACAAGGUUUCCGUAGGUGAACCUGCGGAAGGAUCAUUAACACGUAUCCAACGUUAAACAACCCUGUGAACUUUCAGCGCUCUUGUAGCCCCGGAGGAACAGCAAUCCCGGUAAAUCAAAUGGCGGAAAGAGUUUUGAUUCGGGACCUCUGUCCAAAAGGUAUCAAGUUACAAUCGAGCAGAGCAGUGGCAUGGUUUCCCUAAGCAGUGCAGAAGGAUCCACUGAGUAAGGAUAACGCAUCACGGUUGCCAGAGGUCGAUCACCGGCCGGCAGACAUGUCACAGGGCUUUACGCCCCUUUAUUCAGCAUAAAAACCGAACAACUGUUAACAAUGGAUAUCUUGGUUCUC